GUGCUCACUUGGGUAGCACAUAUACUAAAAUUGGAAUGAUGCAGAGAAGAUUAGCAUGGACCCUGCACAAGGAUAGCAUGCAAAGUCGUGAAGCAUUCCAUAUUUUU
This 107-nucleotide small nuclear RNA is filed under the name Jaculus jaculus (lesser Egyptian jerboa). The record is from RNAcentral. Lineage: Eukaryota; Metazoa; Chordata; Mammalia; Rodentia; Dipodidae.